ACUUCCUUGAAGACACCUGCCAUGAACUCUUUCUCCAGCAGCGCUGAGGAGUGCGACAUUCAGGAAAUGGCAAUGCGGCAGUAAGGAAGGAAUCUGUGCCCUUUAAUGACCUAGAGGAGUAGAUCCACUUCGCCACCUGGACCGGCCAGACUAAUGUGGCCCGGACUCUCAGCUGGACUGACAGGCAAAAUAUCUGUGUCCGUGUACGUUAUUCAUCUGUCACUGGGUCAAGGUCUCCGGGACAGACCCCCUACAGCUGGCGCUCCGUGUGAGGAAUGCUGCGAAGGAUCACGACGGACCCCCCAAAAUGAAGGUGAAAAGGACCGCAGAGUCAGUGAGUCAGAUACAAAGCUGGAAUAAGAGGAAUGACCACUUCGUCUGACAGACCUGUUGCUGCACACAUCUGUACCCUUCGGUCAACAGAACCCGAUGCAAAGAACAGAAAAGGGAGAGAUGUGGGAGUUCAGACAGGCUGGUGGCGUGUCCAGAAUUUAUUCCUUCCGGUGGGUUCUUGGUCUCGCUGACUUCAAGAAUGAAGCCGCAAACCUUUGCUGCCUAUAUCACCCAAACCUGAAAAGGGAAAGAAGGAUGUGAAGAAAAUAAUAUAGGAGGAAGAAGAAUGAAGAAACAGCGGGCAAGAAAAAGAAGAAGACUAGAAAGAGAAGAUGAAGCAGGAUAAAGUGGAGGAGAAAUAGCUUUACUGAAUGGAAGUAUGUCUGUUACUUCUGCUCUUCCAACAACAACAACAACAACAAAAAGCCCAAGGAUGCUGCUAAAUAUCUUAAAAGGUACAAGCAAAUAGUUAUGAUAGUUUUA
RNAcentral lists this long non-coding RNA (816 nucleotides) under Homo sapiens (human). Its description in RNAcentral is "HSALNT0378183". Lineage: Eukaryota; Metazoa; Chordata; Mammalia; Primates; Hominidae. The record is from RNAcentral.